RNAcentral lists this long non-coding RNA (1346 nucleotides) under Ananas comosus (pineapple). Its description in RNAcentral is "long non-coding RNA (ACOM_LNC001523)". Lineage: Eukaryota; Viridiplantae; Streptophyta; Magnoliopsida; Poales; Bromeliaceae. The record is from RNAcentral.
UUCAAAAUUUUGAUUUUACUACUCAACCUUUUAGUUUAUUUGAUUUGAGUGAGUCAAAAUCGGUACUUAGAUUUCAAAUUUUAAGCUAAUCACUUACGCUAAUGAGUUUAUAGUUGUGAGAAUUACUAUAUAAACUAUACGAACUAAAUUUUAAAAUUAAAAUACCUAUGAUUAACUCAAAUUAAAUCAAACAAAUUGAAUGAUAGGAUAGUAAAAUUAAAGAUUGAAAGAUUGGAUAGUCAAAUCAAAAUGAUUCAUAUUUUAGAAAAAUUCAAUACGGUUUUAUCCCAAAAUUAUAAAAAGCACAGUCAAGCUAAUUCAUCCCUCCCUCCCUCUCUCUCUCUCUCUCUCUCUCUCUCUCUCUCUCUAAAGAAGAGAAUAAGGCUUGUUACUGGGACUGCCAAAGUGCCAAUGAGUUGAACUGGCUUGUGAAUAACAAAUAAAGAUUGUCAGCCCUACUAGUAAGUAAAAAAUUAAAAAAUUAUAUACAUAUAUAUAUAUAUAUAUAGGGUCCGGCUACUAUAUUAUUAUGAGUACGAUGGCCAUCGUACUCAUAAGUCGUUUUCGAUGAUAGAGCUUCCGAAUCGACGAUCCACACCGUUAAACGUUAUUUACAGCAUUUAAAACUUCUAGAAAUCAAAUUUUAUAAUUUUUCGACAUCAUUUACCUUACGAUCAAGAGGUCACAAAUUUGACAAUUUUUAACGGCCGGUAUGGCUACUUGCUAGUUUAACGAUGUAAAAAAAUCGAAAUUUGUUGAAUUUUUGAUAGAAAUUUUACUCACUACAUAGAUAAAGAUUAAUAACUCUGAUCUUGAAUUGAAGGAUCCGAUCAUUCUUUUUUAGGACGUCGUUCGAUUUUGACUGUUCAUUUUAUGCCCACUUGAUGGACUUUAUUAUGAUUUCGAAAAUUUACGAAAUUUAUUUUCUAAAAGUUUCAAAUACUCUAGAUCAUAUUUAACGGAGUGGAUCGUCGAUUCAGAAGCUCCAUCAUUGAAAACAACUUAUGAGUACGAGGGCUCCAAUACUCAUAAUAGUAUAGUAGCCAUGGCCUAUAUAUAUAUAUAUAUAUAUAUAUAUGUCCGAACUAUAUUAAGUCGAAUACAAGCGAGCUGAUCUUAGCUCGUGCUCGGCUCGUUCAGAUUUCGAGCUAAAAAAAUUAAGCUCAUAUUCCACUCGCUUAUUAGUGAUCGAUUUCAAACUCAUUUCAAACCAAACACGAAUUAACUUGCAAACAGCGAAUUGAAUUGUCAGUCCUACUUGUUAGGAUCAAAAGAAAAAUCCACAUUGUUACUAUCAAAAGAAAAAUUCGCGAGCUGAAUUACCAGCCCUACUUGUUGCUAUCAAU